Molecule: ribosomal RNA, 501 nt
Filed under: uncultured Bacteroidota bacterium
Lineage: Bacteria; Pseudomonadati; Bacteroidota
Description: bacterial SSU rRNA
Rfam family: Bacterial small subunit ribosomal RNA
Source: RNAcentral
UGCCGCGUGAAGGAUGACUGCCCUAUGGGUUGUAAACUUCUUUUAUAGAGGAAGAAACCUUUCUACGUGUAGAAAGCUGACGGUACUCUACGAAUAAGGACCGGCUAACUCCGUGCCAGCAGCCGCGGUAAUACGGAGGGUCCAAGCGUUAUCCGGAUUUAUUGGGUUUAAAGGGUCCGUAGGCGGGGUUUUAAGUCAGUGGUGAAAGCCUACAGCUCAACUGUAGAACUGCCAUUGAAACUGGAACUCUUGAAUGUGAUUGAAGUGGGCGGAAUAUGUCAUGUAGCGGUGAAAUGCUUAGAUAUGACAUAGAACACCGAUAGCGAAGGCAGCUCACUAAGUCAUGAUUGACGCUGAUGGACGAAAGCGUGGGGAGCGAACAGGAUUAGAUACCCUGGUAGUCCACGCCGUAAACGAUGAUCACUAGCUAUUGGCGAUACACAGUCAGUGGCACAGCGAAAGUGUUAAGUGAUCCACCUGGGGAGUACGAUCGCAAGGUUG